This is a long non-coding RNA of Hemicordylus capensis (graceful crag lizard), 624 nucleotides long. RefSeq lists it as uncharacterized. Lineage: Eukaryota; Metazoa; Chordata; Lepidosauria; Squamata; Cordylidae. The transcript is spliced from 4 exons. The record is from RefSeq and is a predicted model, not a curated record.
CCUGCUCAGGGCUAGUCAGGACCUUUUUUGCUGCUGUGCUUCCCUGGGAGGAAGCACAGUCCGGGAGGAGAGCUGGUCUGGUCUUCUGCUGUGUUUCCCACCCUAUGAAGCCAGAUUCAAAUCCUCCGGACUGCUUUCAAGAGUCACGUAGGAGCGGAGGUGGAUUUCCUUCCUGGAGACGUCAAGCCAGUUCUGGAGGGAGUGAGUUCCACAACCCAGGGGCAACAACGGAGAAGGCCUGGGAGUUCCAUUGGCUCAGAGACAGGGCAUCUGCCUGGCGUGCAGGCAGGAGGUCCCGGGUUCAACUCCUGGCAGCAUCUCUAGAAGAGCCCUGCUGGAGAAAAAGUUGGCGAUAGCCCUGGUGCUUACUUGCAAGUCGCUCUGGAGAGAGCGGAAACAGGCUGAUGGCAAAGCAACAGAGCUGAAAGAUGCUAUGUACAAGGUGCACCAAUUAAUUAACUCAUCCCCAAGUGAAGGUUCUGAACUGUUUUGUAAUAGUAUAGUCAGGUCCAGAUUAUGACAUGCUAAGCUCAAAAGGCCCCAUUGCAUUACCAAAAGAAAUUUCGUUAUUCUAACAAAAAGGGCAAUGAACAUAGAAAUAAUAAAGUUUUAUUUUUCACUUGG